CAGAGAGCAGUGAUUGGUCAGACCAUAGAUAAUAUAGAAGACAGCGCGCUAGCGGAUCUAGUCUGUGUUUAUCUAUGGUCGGCAGGUCUGGUAGCAUCUCUGACUGCUGUUGAUCUUGUUUUUGGAGUAAAACACGGUGGAAGCUGAAUUAGUGAGGAUGACUCCUGCUCCUGUCAUCUCUAAGCUCCUCACACAUCUUUACCUGCACAUGAGGAAAAUCACUCCUGUAGAAUGCAGAUGUUCAGAGGGAGAUGAUGCCACAUCUGGUCCAGCUGAUGGAAGGUCUUGAAGUUCUCUGACUGGCCUCGACUGAAGAUGGUCGUCUCACUGGAUUUAAGAUGCACAAUGAGGGACGUCUGCAGAGACUGAGAAAGAGUCUCACCACAUCCUGACAUGAGGAAAAAGACUUUAUUGAAGACUACAAUGAGAAAAACUAUCAGACAGCAGACGGCUGCAUUCAAGAGGAAGACCAUCAAACAUCCACGUCAGCUGAUGGAGGUCCAAGAGUCUCACCCAACAAACAACCUACAGAGUGAAGACCUCAAUCUGAUUGGACGGCCUCCUAUUCAGCCACAUGUGUGAACAAAUGCCUCUAAGUUGAUUUGUUUUCUAAAAUAAAUCUAGUUUGAGUCCUAAUCUAUGCCUGUGUGUUUGCUUCUUUACACUGCUGUUAACAGUUUAGGCUGUUAGAUUGUUCCAGAUAAGACAAGUACAAGAUUCUUCAGAGCCGUUCUACCACGAGCCUGACAGGAAGAACUCCAACAGCUACUGAAUGUUCCUGUGGUUCCCUCAAGGCUACAGGAGGAGCCCUACGAGGACGAGCCGGUCCACCUGAUGGUGGCCAUCGCUGCGGUUCAAAGCCAACACCGACUACGUG
Amphiprion ocellaris (clown anemonefish) is the source of this 877-nucleotide long non-coding RNA. The record is from Ensembl. NCBI's taxonomy places the organism in Eukaryota, Metazoa, Chordata, Actinopteri, Pomacentridae.